GUCAAUCCCAAAUUUAUUAGGCUAUUUCAUGUCAAACAUCUCAUCCUUACACUAAGGAAUAACUAUGCUAAAGAGAACAAAUAAAGUAAAAGAAGAUAAAUAAAUAAAAGAAAAGACUACCUAAAUUGAUUUUUCCUUUUUGUUUUUCUUUUCUUGCUUUCUUCACCCACGGCUGGGCAGCUUCUGUGGAUCACCAGGGAGACUUAGCUCACGGCUGGGAUGGCCGCUGCUGUUGCAACGGGCGACCGUGGGCGGUGGACACGGUCGUCGGAGGAACUCCGGCAAAGGGGCAGCGAACACGCGGCGAGGGAGGAGCCGGAGUCGAGUGCGGUUGGGGCGGGCAGCGAACUGCUGUGAUGCCGGGUCAGCGAACUCAGGACAGCGGGGGCGUCGUGGCUGGUGGUCUUUGGCGGACUGAGAGGCAGCGACGCGGGCAGCAGCAGGUGUGCCGUGAUGAAGGAGCGCGACUUGGCUUGGUCUGGACAACGAAAUCAGCAGCUCGUCUUCCUCAACCCAAGGAGCGGCAACUGGAUCGGCAGAGAUCAGCAAAUGUACAGAGACUUGGGGCAAUAGCAACGUCUUCACCGGAACAUGGAAAGCAACCAAGUUGGUCGCAGCUCGCUUGCUGCCCAGGGAGUGGAGCGACGGCUCUAUGGUGCAGCGGCGGGUGAGUCGGAGACGUGGGUUGUUGCAGGAGGACCAGCAACAGGUCGA
Molecule: long non-coding RNA, 714 nt
Filed under: Eucalyptus grandis
Lineage: Eukaryota; Viridiplantae; Streptophyta; Magnoliopsida; Myrtales; Myrtaceae
Description: long non-coding RNA (EGRA_LNC001828)
Source: RNAcentral